UACGUAGGGUGCGAGCGUUAAUCGGAAUUACUGGGCGUAAAGCGUGCGCAGGCGGCGAUGUAAGACAGUUGUGAAAUCCCCGGGCUCAACCUGGGAACUGCAUCUGUGACUGCAUCGCUGGAGUGCGGCAGAGGGGGAUGGAAUUCCGCGUGUAGCAGUGAAAUGCGUAGAUAUGCGGAGGAACACCGAUGGCGAAGGCAAUCCCCUGGGCCUGCACUGACGCUCAUGCACGAAAGCGUGGGGAGCAAACAGG
Molecule: ribosomal RNA, 253 nt
Filed under: uncultured bacterium
Lineage: Bacteria
Description: partial 16S ribosomal RNA
Rfam family: Bacterial small subunit ribosomal RNA
Source: RNAcentral